RNAcentral lists this ribosomal RNA (500 nucleotides) under uncultured Myrionecta. Its description in RNAcentral is "SSU rRNA". It matches the Rfam family "Eukaryotic small subunit ribosomal RNA", at positions 34 to 602 of the family's 1831-position model. Lineage: Eukaryota; Ciliophora; Litostomatea; Cyclotrichida; Mesodiniidae. The record is from RNAcentral.
GUGUUCAGAUAGCCAUGCACGUCUAGUACAAACUAAAUGAUGGUGAAACUGCAAAUGGCUCAUUACAACGGUUAUGAUGUACCCGGGAGUUCCGAUGGAUAUUUCCAGUAACACUAGAACUAAUACAUGUCCCUGCGUUUAUUAGUUUCGCACAGUCCGUCGCUGAGUCAUGGUAAACAGUUGAUCGACUCGACGUCCCGGAACAGUUUCCGCCCCAUCAGCUUCGAUGGUUGGGUAUUGGCCUACCAUUGCAACAACGGGUAACGAGGAAUUAGGGUUUGAUUUCGGAGAGGGAGCCUGAGAAACGGCUACCACAUCUACGGAUGGCAGCAGGCGCGCAAAUUACCCAAUGCAGACACUGUGAGGUAGUGACGAGAAAUAAUAAAGCGGGACUUCUGUUUCGCUAUUAUAAUGAGGAAUAACCAAAGGUCAUUCCGAUUAGCAACUGAUGGGAAAGUCUGGUGCCAGCAGCCGCGGUAAUACCAGCGUCAGUAGCAUAU